CGUAGACCUGCGAUAUAAAACAUCGCACUGUAGCGAGGUUCUGCUGGAAGACUGGCUGAGUACUACAUUACCUUACAAAACAAUGUCUUCUGUACGCCAAUUUCCGGCAGCCCAGAUUAAAUUCCUCAUCUAAGUUUUUGUAACAAUUUGCGUCAAACCGCAAGCUCCUGGACGAUGACUCAGAGUGAAUACCAAUCGUUCUACACACCUGCACUUUGAGGAUAAAAACUCCAAUUGGUAGUUUAAAACUGAAACUGAAAUGAUACUACUUAGCGCAAAGGGAAAUAAAUAUAAUUAAUUCUUUUGGUUCAUAUUA
This is a long non-coding RNA of Homalodisca vitripennis (glassy-winged sharpshooter), 316 nucleotides long. RefSeq lists it as uncharacterized. The record is from RefSeq and is a predicted model, not a curated record. The transcript has 2 exons. Lineage: Eukaryota; Metazoa; Arthropoda; Insecta; Hemiptera; Cicadellidae.